This is a long non-coding RNA of Triticum dicoccoides, 1354 nucleotides long. RefSeq lists it as uncharacterized. The record is from RefSeq and is a predicted model, not a curated record. The transcript has 3 exons. Lineage: Eukaryota; Viridiplantae; Streptophyta; Magnoliopsida; Poales; Poaceae.
CCGGCUUCUCUUCGACCCAGCUCCUCCUCCCCAUGCCUUCCUUCCUCCCGUCUUGUUCUCCAAUCGUCGACUUCCCUAUCCAGACGAGGCGCUCGGAGGUAGUACCGGGGCAAGCACCACCGGUGCGAUGUCCAGGCCGGCCCACACCGUCUGGCUGUUCCGUGCAAGACUAGAUCUGACGAUCUAGCUGCCGGAUCCACCGCAGCAGCAACGCCGGCUGCUAUCUCCUCUCCGACCCCGACCACCACACCACCUCAACUCCAGUGCGCCACCCUCUACUCUAUCCAUCCUUUCUGUCCACGGCCAGAACCAGCAAUCUUGCUGCCAGAUUGGUGGUGGCGGUUCCUCAUGGUGGCGUCGGCGGCCCUCCACAAUGUCGCCUGCUGUCUCGCUUCAGCCUCCUCCGACGACGCGCUCGGGGCUGGGUCCAGGGCUGGCCCUUGGCCAUGGCGUGCAGCCGCCUAGGGCCCAGGCGAAACAGGGGCCCAUACUGUAUGUAUAUACGUAUGAGUAGAAGAAAAAGUAAACUGAUGAAAUAGUAGCGGUAGGCUCAACCUAUUACGGUGUGAGGAACCAGUCACGUAUGAAAGUGAGAACAGCUGAAUAGCCAGCCUAAUUGUUAGGUACUCUAUUCAAUAAAGUUAUUUCCGAGAUAGCACUUAUGUCUCUUGUUCAUCACCCAGUUUUCUCGUCUCCUUUCUUUGCUAAUUAAUUGAACCAAUUUCCCAAGAGGCUGGGCGCCCAAACCGAUGCUAAUUGAAUAAAAAUUUAUAUGUAUCACUACUACGUUAACCUCUUCAUUAUACAAGCAGGACCCCAGCCUUUUGUUCUUCCAUCUUAAAAGUAUACUGAGGAGACUAAUGAAGUGGCACAUUCGGCGAUUGGCCGGUGAGGCGUUGACAACAGCCCACAUCCACAGCGUGUAGCGGUGCUUGCGAAGACCCGCGUGUUCGUCAGGCCCACUAAACCUAACUUGCACUAGGGCCUCCGAAAUGUUAGGGCCGGCCUGGCUGGGUCUAGUAGGGCACCCCACGGUCAGCGCACUCAUCGUCAGCAUCGACCUCACGCCUGUCUUCCCCAUCCAUAGCGCACGUCUCCUCAAGGAGGACAACACCGACACCGCAUGUGGUGACCGCAGGCACGACAACAGAUGUCCACUUCUACUUCAUCUCUGGCUCCGCUGCUUAGGAUUAUUUCCUGCCUUUACCAGAGCGAGAAUGGCAUCAUCGACUUCUACCUCCUCCAUCUCAAGGACAAAUCUCAUGCAACCCAUGGUGCUGCAUUUGAAGCGAUCAUUUGUAAUUUGGUAGUGACUUAUGUGUAUAAUGUAUGAGUUGGAUUAUUUUUCAUUGUA